RNAcentral lists this ribosomal RNA (493 nucleotides) under uncultured Lachnospiraceae bacterium. RNAcentral describes it as "bacterial SSU rRNA". It matches the Rfam family "Bacterial small subunit ribosomal RNA", at positions 12 to 507 of the family's 1533-position model. Lineage: Bacteria; Bacillati; Bacillota; Clostridia; Lachnospirales; Lachnospiraceae. The record is from RNAcentral.
UUUGUAGUCCUGGCUCAGGAUGAACGCUGCGGCGUGCCUAACACAUGCAAGUCGAGCGAAGCAUACAGGAGGAAGUUUUCGGAUGGAAUCCUGCAUGACUGAGCGGCGGACGGGUGAGUAACGCGUGGGUAACCUGCCUUAUACAGGGGGAUAACAGUUAGAAAUGACUGCUAAUACCGCAUAAGCGCACAGUACCGCAUGGUAGUGUGUGAAAAACUCUGGUGGUAUAAGAUGGACCCGCGUCUGAUUAGCCAGUUGGCGGGUAACGGCCCACCAAAGCGACGAUCAGUAGCCGACCUGAGAGGGUGACCGGCCACAUUGGGACUGAGACACGGCCCAAACUCCUACGGGAGGCAGCAGUGGGGAAUAUUGCACAAUGGGGAAACCCUGAUGCAGCAACGCCGCGUGAGUGAAGAAGUAUUUCGGUAUGUAAAGCUCUAUCAGCAGGGAAGAAGAUGACGGUACCUGAUUAAGAAGCCCGGCUAACUACGUG